UACAGGGGGGGCAAGCGUUGUUCGGAAUUACUGGGCGUAAAGGGCUCGUAGGCGGCCAACUAAGUCACACGUGAAAUCCCCAGGCUUAACCUGGGAACUGCGUCUGAUACUGGAUGGCUUGAGUUUGGGAGAGGGACGCGGAAUUCCAGGUGUAGCGGUGAAAUGCGUAGAUAUCUGGAGGAACACCGGUGGCGAAGGCGGCGUCCUGGACCAACACUGACACUGAUGAGCGAAAGCCAGGGGAGCAAACGGG
Molecule: ribosomal RNA, 253 nt
Filed under: uncultured bacterium
Lineage: Bacteria
Description: partial 16S ribosomal RNA
Rfam family: Bacterial small subunit ribosomal RNA
Source: RNAcentral